Molecule: ribosomal RNA, 709 nt
Filed under: bacterium Ss69
Lineage: Bacteria
Description: bacterial SSU rRNA
Rfam family: Bacterial small subunit ribosomal RNA
Source: RNAcentral
GUCGAACGAUGAAGCCCAGCUUGCUGGGUGGAUUAGUGGCGAACGGGUGAGUAACACGUGAGUAACCUGCCCUUAACUCUGGGAUAAGCCUGGGAAACUGGGUCUAAUACCGGAUAGGAGCGUCCACCGCAUGGUGGGUGUUGGAAAGAUUUAUCGGUUUUGGAUGGACUCGCGGCCUAUCAGCUUGUUGGUGAGGUAAUGGCUCACCAAGGCGACGACGGGUAGCCGGCCUGAGAGGGUGACCGGCCACACUGGGACUGAGACACGGCCCAGACUCCUACGGGAGGCAGCAGUGGGGAAUAUUGCACAAUGGGCGAAAGCCUGAUGCAGCGACGCCGCGUGAGGGAUGACGGCCUUCGGGUUGUAAACCUCUUUCAGUAGGGAAGAAGCGAAAGUGACGGUACCUGCAGAAGAAGCACCGGCUAACUACGUGCCAGCAGCCGCGGUAAUACGUAGGGUGCGAGCGUUAUCCGGAAUUAUUGGGCGUAAAGAGCUCGUAGGCGGUUUGUCGCGUCUGUCGUGAAAGUCCGGGGCUUAACCCCGGAUCUGCGGUGGGUACGGGCAGACUAGAGUGCAGUAGGGGAGACUGGAAUUCCUGGUGUAGCGGUGGAAUGCGCAGAUAUCAGGAGGAACACCGAUGGCGAAGGCAGGUCUCUGGGCUGUAACUGACGCUGAGGAGCGAAAGCAUGGGGAGCGAACAGGAUUAGAU